AUGGACUACGUCUUCCCUUCCGUAGGCGCCCUCCCCGCACCCAACUACAGGCACCAGCCCCUUCUAGGCCGGGAGAACCUUCGCUUCAGCCUCCCGGGCAACUCCAACCGCUACCUCCCCCUGCGCAGCAAGGAGGCGGCCGAGGACGGAGCACGUGCACGUCGCAGACGCCGCGACCACCAUGCCUCCUCCGACUCGACCUCGGCGACCGAUGCCGCCCACGCCUCGACCUCCGCGACCGACGCCUCUGCCGCCAGGCGACGCAGGCACCGACGGCCCCGGCCCCGACCCCGACGACCCGAACGUGAGGAGCGCCCCGUGGAGGUCGCUGAUCGAGCGUGGGGGGGAAGACGUCUCCUCGCCUUCGCCUUCCUCGUGGUCACCGGCGCCGUGUCCGCCGUCCUUCUUCUCGGUGGGCAUGAGCUCUCCAUCUGGACCUACACCGCCGCGCAGACAUCCUGCACCUGCUCCCCCGCCGCCGCCAAGAACUAG
This 492-nucleotide ribosomal RNA is filed under the name Triticum aestivum (bread wheat). RNAcentral's name for it is "partial small subunit ribosomal RNA". Lineage: Eukaryota; Viridiplantae; Streptophyta; Magnoliopsida; Poales; Poaceae. The record is from RNAcentral.